GACGAACGCUGGCGGCGUGCUUAACACAUGCAAGUCGAACGGAAAGGCCCUGCUUUUGUUGGGUUCUCGGGUGGCGAACGGGUGAGUAACACGUGAGUAACCUGCCCUUGACUUUGGGAUAACUUCAGGAAACUGGGGCUAAUACCGGAUAUGAUCUCCUGCUGCAUGUUGGUGGUUGGAAAGUUUCGGCGGUUGGGGAUGGACUGGCGGCUUAUCAGCUUGUUGGUGUGGUAGUGGCUUACGAAGGCUUUGACGGGUAGCCGGCCUGAGAGGGUGAACGGCCACAUUGGGACUGAGAUAGGGACCAGACGGCUACGGGAGGCAGCAGUGGGGAGUAUUGCACAAUGGGCGGAAGUCUGAUGCAGAAACGCAGCGUGCGGGAUGACGGCCUUCGGGUUGUAAACAGAUUUCGCAGGUGACGAAGCGUGAGUGACGGUAAUGGGUAAAGAAGCAACGGCUAACUACGUG
This 468-nucleotide ribosomal RNA is filed under the name uncultured bacterium. Its description in RNAcentral is "partial 16S ribosomal RNA". It matches the Rfam family "Bacterial small subunit ribosomal RNA", at positions 28 to 507 of the family's 1533-position model. The record is from RNAcentral.